GACGAACGCUGGCGGCGUGCCUAAUACAUGCAAGUCGAGCGGACUUUCAAGAAGCUUGCUUUUUGAAAGUUAGCGGCGGACGGGUGAGUAACACGUGGGCAACCUGCCUGCAAGACGGGGAUAACUCCGGGAAACCGGGGCUAAUACCGGAUAAUAUCUUCCUUCGCAUGAAGGAAGGUUGAAAGGCGGCGCAAGCUGCCGCUUGCAGAUGGGCCCGCGGCGCAUUAGCUAGUUGGUGAGGUAACGGCUCACCAAGGCGACGAUGCGUAGCCGACCUGAGGGGGUGAUCGGCCACACUGGGACUGAGACACGGCCCAGACUCCUACGGGAGGCAGCAGUAGGGAAUCUUCCGCAAUGGACGAAAGUCUGACGGAGCAACGCCGCGUGAGCGAAGAAGGGCUUCGGAUCGUAAAGCUCUGUUGUCAGGGAAGAACAAGUACCGUUCGAACAGGGCGGUACCUUGACGGUACCUGACCAGAAAGCCACGGCUAACUACGUG
This 499-nucleotide ribosomal RNA is filed under the name uncultured bacterium. RNAcentral's name for it is "partial 16S ribosomal RNA". It matches the Rfam family "Bacterial small subunit ribosomal RNA", at positions 28 to 507 of the family's 1533-position model. The record is from RNAcentral.